GAUGAACGCUAGCUACAGGCUUAACACAUGCAAGUCGAGGGACCGGCGCACGGGUGAGUAACACGUAUCCAACCUGCCCUUUACUCGGGGAUAGCCUUUCGCAAGUAAGAUUAAUACCCGAUGUAAAGGAUGGGGAUGCGUUCCAUUAGGUUGUUGGUGAGGUCACGGCUCACCAAGCCUUCGAUGGAUAGGGGUUCUGAGAGGAAGGUCCCCGACAUUUGAACUGAGGUACGGUCCAAACUCCUACGGGAGGCAGCAGUGAAGAAGAUUGGUCAAGGGGCGUUAGCCUGAACCAGCCAAGUAGCGUGAAGGAUGAAGGCUUAUGGAUCGUAAUCUUCUUUUAUAUAAGAAUAUGUAUUAUAUGAAUAAGGAUCGGCUAACUCCGUGCCAGCCGCCGCGGUAAUUC
Molecule: ribosomal RNA, 406 nt
Filed under: uncultured bacterium
Lineage: Bacteria
Description: partial 16S ribosomal RNA
Rfam family: Bacterial small subunit ribosomal RNA
Source: RNAcentral